This 410-nucleotide ribosomal RNA is filed under the name Austropotamobius torrentium (stone crayfish). Its description in RNAcentral is "partial 16S ribosomal RNA". It matches the Rfam family "Bacterial large subunit ribosomal RNA", at positions 1938 to 2563 of the family's 2925-position model. Lineage: Eukaryota; Metazoa; Arthropoda; Malacostraca; Decapoda; Astacidae. The record is from RNAcentral.
UAUUAUGACCGUGCUAAGGUAGCAUAAUCAUUAGUCUUUUAAUUGGAGGCUGGAAUGAAUGGUCGGACAAGAGAUAAGCUGUCUUAAGUAAAAAUAUUGAAUUUAACUUUUAAGUGAAAAGGCUUAAAUCCUCUAGGGGGACGAUAAGACCCUAUAAAACUUUAUAUUUUGAAAUAAUAAUUAAUUUUGUGUGGGAGAUUUAUUUUUAAGUAUUUUAUUGGGGUGAUAAGGAUAAAAUAAUAAAUAACUGUCUUUUUUUAUUACAGUAAUAUUUGAGCAAAUGAACCUAGUAAGGGAAAGAAGAUUAAGUUACUUUAGGGAUAACAGCGUAAUUUUUUUUAAGAGUUCUUAUCGACAAGAAAGUUUGCGACCUCGAUGUUGAAUUAAAAAUUCUUUAUAGAGCAGAAACU